AGUGAACGCUGGCGGUAGGCCUAACACAUGCAAGUCGAACGGCAGCACAGUAAGAGCUUGCUCUUACGGGUGGCGAGUGGCGGACGGGUGAGGAAUACAUCGGAAUCUACUUUUUCGUGGGGGAUAACGUAGGGAAACUUACGCUAAUACCGCAUACGACCUACGGGUGAAAGCAGGGGAUCUUUGGACCUUGCGCGAUUGAAUGAGCCGAUUUCGGAUUAGCUAGUUGGCGGGGUAAAGGCCCACCACGGCGACGAUCCGUAGCUGGUAUGAGAGGAUGAUCAGCCACACUGGAACUGAGACACGGUCCGGACUACUACGGGAGGCAGCCGUGGGGAAUAUUGGACAAUGGGCGCAAGCCUGAUCCAGCCAUACCGCGUGGGUGAAGAAGGCCUUCGGGUUGUAAAGCCCUUUUGUUGGGAAAGAAAAGCAGCAGGUUAAUACCCCGCUGUUCUGACGGUACCCAAAGAAUAAGCACCGGCUAACUUCGUG
RNAcentral lists this ribosomal RNA (492 nucleotides) under uncultured bacterium. RNAcentral's name for it is "partial 16S ribosomal RNA". It matches the Rfam family "Bacterial small subunit ribosomal RNA", at positions 29 to 507 of the family's 1533-position model. The record is from RNAcentral.